AUCGGCUAAAACCCUGCAAGGCCUGCGACCUGGACUAGAAGCUCAUGGUUUAUUGUUUAGGGUUUUGAAUUAGCAAAGUUGCUAGUCGGAUUCCUAAAUUUUCAAGAAUCAGCAUGGCUUCGUCUCCAAAACCCAGUCUUCUUAUCGGGGAAAAUUAUGGCCUCGCACUCCACCAAUCAAUGCAACAACUCCUAGAUGAAAUCCACAAAGAAACCUUAAAUUUGUCUCAUUUCGUCAACAUGUUCUACCGAUUAAUGCAAUCGAAAAUCGAUUCUCCUAUAGAAACGAUCUGGGUCUACUCUGCUUUAUCCUUCAGGAGCCGAAAAACAACAAACCAGGAUCUUUCAAAUCAUAUUUUGAUUGCAGAGGAACUGUUUCAACUGGUUUCUGGAUGCUCAGGUCCGUGUAGUGCUUCGAAAAGCAUAGCAUUGCUAGCUCCGGUUGUUUUCCAAAUGUAUAAAUUGGUUUUUGAGUUAUUAGGCAAAGAUUUGGGAGCUAAGAGGAUGAAGAAAGCAGCUAAAGAGGUCAAGUCUUUGAUUGGAGAGAUUCUUGGAUAUGUAAGUGUGUGUUGUAGCAAGGAUAUCAGCAAGGAAAGUGAUUCAAAUUUGAGUGUAUCAUUUUCAGAUUUGGUUAGUGUCUGGAUGGAUGGGAACGAAGGCUUGAGGGCUUUUUUACCUCUCAUGAGUGAUGAGAUACGUAAAGAGAUUAGUAUUGGAGGGUCAACUGUCAUAUACUUAGCUGGAGUUGUCAUUUGUGAGGUUUUCUUGUUGAAGCUAUGCUUGGAUUUACGGAUGGGGAAUCGAGGAGUGGAGUUGGAGAAGGAACUGAGGAGUUGGAUUGUUGGCUCAAUAACUGGGUUGCAGAGCUUCUACUUCUUCGAGACUCUUGUAAGGAUGCUGUUGGAGCCAACCUUACCUGUGACUUCACUGUUGAGUUCCGAAGAUGAAAGUUUUUUGAGAACAAUUCUAUAUGAUGCUGCUAUUUUGGUAGAAUAUUCUUUCCUCAGUCCUGAGAGAGCAAUUAACGUACCAUCCAAUCGGGUGACAGAUCUUGCAAUGAAAAGAUUGAUCAUUACACAUGAAGCCAUAGAGCUUUUCAGGAAAAAUGGGGACCAAAAGAGAGCUAUUGCGUAUACUAGUUCAUUCUCCAGUUCUGGGCUAUGUUCCCAAAUUAUCCAGUGUAUCACCAGCCAGGUUGGCAUGGAUGAAGAAACAAGUAGAUUGAAGGGAGCAUCACCUAAAGCUCUUAUAAAGUUGUUACUAAACCUUGAUGGUCAAGGCAUAAGGCUAUUUGAUGAUACAAUCUCCAAAUUUCAUGCCAAAUUAGCUCUUGAUGAUUCCAAAUCUGACUAUGAGCAAUCAACAUCUAAGCCAGAGGGAAAGAAAGCAGAUGCUGAUGUUCUGUUUUGCAUUGAUAACAAAGGAGAAGAGGAAGACCAUCAUGAGGAUGAUAAGGAGAUAAAUGAGUCCAUGAGUGCUGCAUUUGUAGCUUCUGCACAGAAAAUGAGAUUGACAGAAAAUGGAGGAAGAAAAAGGAAAGAGGAGAGAAAUUCCAGAAAAAAGAAAAAGAUUAAACUUCUUAAGCAUAACCACUCUGAUACUUCUGAUUCAGAUGAAGAGAGGUCCUCAUCUGUCAAUGAUGAUGGUUCAGAUUCAGAUAGUGAGAGCGAAGUCGAGAAUCCAAUCUCUGAUGAAGACGUUUGAGUGAAGGGGCAGUGGGUUUCCUUGAAGAGAAAAUAUGGCAAUUAUGUUAUAGUUACUUCAAAGUCUAUGUUCAAAUGUGCAAUAGCAUUUGCUGAUAUACUUGUCCUCGCAAAGGAUUUGAAGUUGCAUUGUAGCCGUUCAUGAAUAGACAAUGUUGGAGUAUGCAUGAAUGCACCUUUUCUUUACAAAAUAGUUCACUUUCUUUUCCAGAAAGCAAUAGCUGUUAUUUUUCCCGUAGUUGCCCCUGCAAUUUCACUAGUUAUUUCUAUGAGCUAGCACUUACAUCCUAUGUAAGAAAAUGAAUCAAAGUUGGUUAGGCUGGACUGUGAUCAGGUUGAGUCUCCAGUAUUCAUCUUUACGAUGCAAGAGACUUCUGAUUUGGUGCUCAAGGAAUUUAUUUUUUUUCUUAUAAUAUAUUUUUGUAUUUGAAUUUAGGUGAAAAUGUAUAAUUUUUAAGAUCCAUUUUCAUUCCAUUUUAAAGCGAACCCAAUGUUCU
This 2199-nucleotide unclassified non-coding RNA is filed under the name Hevea brasiliensis (rubber tree). Lineage: Eukaryota; Viridiplantae; Streptophyta; Magnoliopsida; Malpighiales; Euphorbiaceae. The record is from RNAcentral.